This 545-nucleotide ribosomal RNA is filed under the name Microsphecodes sp. 10 JH-2013. RNAcentral describes it as "eukaryotic LSU rRNA". It matches the Rfam family "Eukaryotic large subunit ribosomal RNA", at positions 672 to 1152 of the family's 3401-position model. Lineage: Eukaryota; Metazoa; Arthropoda; Insecta; Hymenoptera; Halictidae. The record is from RNAcentral. RNAcentral also lists the same sequence under 1 other name.
AGUCUAACAUGUGCGCGAGUCAUUGGGACAUUGAAACCUAAAGGCGCAAUGAAAGUGAAGGUCGUACCUUGCGUCGACCAAGGGAGGAUGGGCCGCGUCACGAUGCGGCCUCGCACUCCCGGGGCGUCUCGUUCUCAUUGCGAGAAGAGGCGCACCCAGAGCGUACACGUUGGGACCCGAAAGAUGGUGAACUAUGCCUGGUCAGGACGAAGUCAGGGGAAACCCUGAUGGAGGUCCGUAGCGAUUCUGACGUGCAAAUCGAUCGUCGGAACUGGGUAUAGGGGCGAAAGACUAAUCGAACCAUCUAGUAGCUGGUUCCCUCCGAAGUUUCCCUCAGGAUAGCUGGCACUCGCUCGUUCCUCUAUUGUGAACGCGUGCGAGUCUCAUCUGGUAAAGCGAAUGAUUAGAGGCCUUGGGGCCGAAACGACCUCAACCUAUUCUCAAACUUUAAAUGGGUGAGAUCUCUGGCUUGCUUGAAACAAUCAAUGAAGCCACGAGAAUUUGGAUCAGAGUGCCAAGUGGGCCAAUUUUGGUAAGCAGAACUG